RNAcentral lists this long non-coding RNA (957 nucleotides) under Chrysemys picta bellii (western painted turtle). Its description in RNAcentral is "lncRNA (ENSCPBG00000024095.1)". The record is from RNAcentral. Lineage: Eukaryota; Metazoa; Chordata; Testudines; Emydidae.
CUGUAUGCAAUAUGUACAAAGUCAGCUCUGCAGAGAAUACAGAUGGUGAAUGUCCAAUUUGAACACGUUAAUCCAGCCUAAGUCAGUUUUUUUUCUUCCACCAAAGCUUCAAUAUGCAUCUGAUCUCAGGAUAUUGGAUUUUUCUUUGAGGCAAAGUGGGAAGAGUGCAUGAGAUCCUUAAGCAUGCUUCUGUGGGACUCUUCUAAAUACUGAACCCGGGCUGGUAAUCUGAUGUAUAGGAAAAGGACUUGAACUUGUGUCUUCUACAUCCCACGUGAAUGCCCUAACCCCUGAGCUGCAAAGACAUUCUCACACUUCAGCUGACCCAGUAACUAAUUAUUUACACAAAGAGGAGCAGCUUCAACAGGAGAGAUUGUGUCCCACUGGCAUACCCCACAGCCAACAACUAGUGCACACUCCAGAGAGGUAAGAAAUGCGUAUUCCAAUCACUGCCCUACAUCAGCUACGGGGAGUAUUGAACCUUAUUCUCCUACAGUCUAGGAGAGGGCACCAACCACUGGGCUAAAGGGGAGGCAACAGCACCAGCCACAGCAAGGAUGGGCUUAAGAGAGGGUUUACAAGGUUGACUCCCAAACCAAAUAGGUGCCUCGCUCCAACCUAGAUUUAGUUGCCUAAGUCUUUUUGAAGGCUGUGACUUAGGCCACACCCCUCUUCUCAGCAUUUCCUAUUGCUCCCUGAUCAGCUUGCUGGUAUCUGUGAAUCCUUUUCUGAGGCCCCCUAGGUCUCCCCCCUGCCUUAUACAGGGCACCUAACUUUGGGCUGUGGAGUCUACGAGGUAGUAGGGCAGCCCAAUGUUGGAUAUUACAAUGCUGAGCCUAAGUCCCCUUUGUAGAACUAUCCUUUAGCAUGAGACUCUAUCCUGGUCUCCCUUCAGCUUUUUCCUCUGCUCUGGUUGCACUAUUGCAGACUUUAGCAAUACAACUUCUACAGCCCAUA